This 235-nucleotide ribosomal RNA is filed under the name uncultured bacterium. Its description in RNAcentral is "partial 16S ribosomal RNA". It matches the Rfam family "Bacterial small subunit ribosomal RNA", at positions 104 to 339 of the family's 1533-position model. The record is from RNAcentral.
GGGUGAGUAACGCGUAUGCAACCUACCUUAAACAGGGGGAUAGCCCAGAGAAAUUUGGAUUAAUACCCCAUAACAUUAUUGAAUCGCAUGGUUUAAUAAUUAAAACUCCGGUGGUUUAAGAUGGGCAUGCGUGACAUUAGCUUGUUGGUGAGGUAACGGCUCACCAAGGCUACGAUGUCUAGGGGUUCUGAGAGGAUGAUCCCCCACACUGGUACUGAGACACGGACCAGACUCC